AAUAGCACCAGGCCUUUGUGAUGAUGUAUAAGAAUACAUGCCUAUCUGUUAUUUAAGAAGGAACAAUUCUAUAGCUUUCACUAAGUAGCACUGAGUCUACUUAUCUAGCCUUAAAAAUAUAUCAUAAACUCGGAGACCUGAUGCCUUAAGAAACCAUUGACUUUGUUAUUAAUAGGACACAAUGUUUCCCUGUUUUUAACAUUUAUUUGUUUAUUUGUGUACCUGUUUGUAUAUAAUAUUUGUGUGAGUGGUAUGGAACACAUGUGCUAUGACACACAUUAGCGGUCAGAGAACACAUGUAGGAGUGGAUUCUCUCAUUUUGAUCUUUGAUUCCAACAACUGAACAAUCUUAUAUUAGUGUGAUUAUUAAUGUGAUGAUAAUAUUAAUACUAAUAAUAGCUGUUCAUCAGGCAUUAAACUUUUUCUACUCUACACACUGUUCUCAUUGUUUUCAAUCCUGUUUAUUAUUCCAACAUCUGCAUGAUACAAGCAGAAUAAUUCUAUUCUACAGAGGAGAAAGCUGCAGCUCAGAAGCAUGAAACUCAGCAAUACAAGUAGCUCCUGUAAUAAGAAGCUGGCAUUCAGUCUCAGGACUAGUUUCAUGACUAUUUUUUUUUAAAGAGUUGGUACGGCUUUUGAAGCCACCAUUGUCUAGCGCAAGAUUAUAGGUUAUUGUUUUUUCUUUGACAUAUUGACUAAUGCUUCUCAGUGAUGUUAUUUUUUCUUCCUUUGGUUUGUCUUUGAAGAGGAAAUGCUCAAAAACAGAAAGGGCAGCGAUCGCACAACCUAUGUUAAUCAGAUUAAUAUUCAAAGUUCCAAGCUGUACUUGUAUACACAUUUAGUCAUGCAAUUAAUAAAUUAAUACUUUACUGAUUUUCUUCUCUGUGCUAGGCACUGAUAAAAUAAUGAUAGAAAUGCUAACGUGAUCUAGCUCGGGAAAGAAACUUUCUGUACCCCAAUCAAACUGAUCAAUCUUUAAAAACAAAUACUUUUUCUUAUCAGCACCAUGAUUCAUCUUAAAACAGAGGGUCUGCUGAAGUUUGUUUGAACAUUGUUACAAUAGCUUUGAACAUUAUGAUAGCCAGUUUUCAAAGUAGUCUGCCAGCUAGUGUUUAACUUUACCCAGAGGGUCUAAUAUCAUACAAAUAAUAAACUAAUUUUAAAAGAAAACAGUGUUCACCUUUAAAAAUGUAUUUAAAUACUGAGUAAAUUAAUAAAAAAUGUAUGAAUGUCAUCUCAUUUUACUGUAUUCUUGAAAGAAAGUGAGUGCCUGAACCAAAUAUUUAGCAGUGGGAAUUAUAAAAUCAUAAGACGAUUAAGUUAGCUAGUCUUAGAAUUCCAAUAUUGCUUUUUAAAUGACUUCAGGAUAUAGGAGGUACUAAGGUUAUUAUCUGUUAUCUGGAAUACAGUGGAAUUGUACAACUGGAUAAUAACCAAACAAACUGACACAAUGUAAAAUUACAUUAUCAGUGUGUUAAAACAAAAUUGCGCCCUAAAGGAGUCCACAUGCCAGCUCAGAGCUGCAGUGUAAUUAUGCUUAACUCUGAUAAUUAAAAUACAACGGAGAUCAACAGAAUCAUUUUCAUUAAGAAAAUUAUUAAUGAUGGUGGUAUAGCAGUAAUUGAUUGCAGAGCACCACAGGAUAACGUGACGCUGGAAACCCAACUUGUUUCAUGAUCGUCUGAGGCUUUUUGUGGUUAUGUUCUGUUAAAAUGGGAAAUACAUUUUGAGGCAUGAGCAGUUUAUUAUGCCUGCUCUGAGAAUCAGUGAUUGGGAAAAUGGCUGAUUUAGAAAAUCACAGUUUUGAUUCAAAGGGUCAUUGUGGAGAGGUUUGCAAGGUCAAGACAAGCGGCCCCACCAAUGAUGGAGUUAUUGUUAACAGAGUUUUCUAUUGCAAAUAGCAGAAUGGCCGCGUGUUCAGCAAAUAUUGGACUCUCUGCUGUUUCCAUUUCUUUCUGUGCAUUGCCAGGUUUUACAAUUGUGCUAAUGGCUUACUAGUAUUGUGUUGACCCAAGUCUGCUUACACAUUUACAGUUAUUAAUGUAUGUCAUGUAUGCAAAUCUAUACUUGUUUUCAUACAGAUGUCAUGGUGGGUUUACUAGUAAAUAAGCCUGUAAUAUAUCAUUGUUACCUUAAUGAGGGAGAUGUGCUAACAUGUGGUAGAAAAAAAUAUUUUAAACCCACUUGGAUCCAUAUAUGAGUGAAGCUUGUGUCUCUUGAGGGAUAGAAACUAAGUUAGACUGUUGGCAAAUGAUAAGAACUGGGGAUAUAUCAGUGUUAUGUGUAUAAAAAUGAGAAAUGAAAAGCAGGGUCUUUGGAGAGGUGAAUCACUAUCAUGUGAGGAUGUUAGCUUGUCAGUCAAACAGAUGAUAAUCUUGAAAGCUACCCCCAGAAGUAUCUUUGUCAGCUAAACUGAGGGACAACUCCUAAGAGUAAAAUUUUUUAGAAUAAGACAUCCUAAAUAGCUUUUUAAACAUCAUACAGAAUAGAUGAAGUUGUUGCCUUAUAAUGCUAGUUGAGAAAAGCAGAAAAUAUGCUUUUGUAUCCACUAUAAUUAGAGUAACAUUUAAAAGCAUAUGCACAAGAAACAGAGGGAAAUAAAAUUGCAUGAAAUUGCAAAAGUAUUUCUGUAAGGAGAAAUUUGUGGCCAUUAUUUGUCUCUACUUAUGUUACUUAUUUGAGAGAGAAGCUAAACUCCAAGAGGCACUAGCAAAGUACUUGUGCAAACCACUGGACUUUGAGGCUUGUAUCCUCUCUUAUAAAUAAACUUCUUAGAGUUUUUUUCCUCAUAGAGUUUAAGAAAAGUACUUACAUAUUCAAAUCCUAUGUCUUAAUCUGUUCUCAGACUCAUUCAUUCAUUCACUCAUUCACUCAUUCAUUGCAUUCCACUGCUGGAGAUGAAACCCUUGUCUCCACGUCUACACAUGGGCUGGGAACCUGUUGCACCAUUGCAUGAUUUCAGCCCUUCUUUUAUGAUUCAAACCCUAGAAUAAGAAAUGUUUAAUUCACAAAAUCCUUAUUCCACAAAAAUUGAUGUUUUUGCCCCUGCUUAUAUAAUUAAACUUUCUUAAUACACAUAUGAAUGCCUUAAAAGUAUUUUUCCUUAAGAUAGUUUCCUAAAAAAAUAUAAGUAAUCAAACACAUGCAUAUUCUCCAAAUUAUGGUAUUGGAAUGAGGAUACAAAUUAAUCUAAAACAAGCUUUGGUUUAACAAAGUCACUGAAACCUUUAUUAAUCAAGUAUACUUAAACAUUUAAAUAAUGACUUCAGUCAGUAGCUCAUAAGCAAGCCGAGACUCAUGAAGGGUGUGAAAGUUGGUUUUGUUUUAGUUUGUUUAAAACUAAGCCAUCAGUUCUAGGAAUGGGUGAGGGCAUUUAAAGGGUUUGAAUCUGUGAGCCUAGUGGCUCAUAGCGUGGGAUGCUCACAGAGGACAGUUUUGUAAGGCUAGGCAACUUGCAAAUGAGAACCGUGAUGGGCGAAUUAGUUUCCCACCAUUCACUUGACUGAUGCCGAGUCUUUGAUUAUCACGUCAUGGUAGAGCUGAUCAUCCAGCAACAUCCGUAAUCCAAAUGAGAGUUUGUCAGAUAACUGUGUCAAAAACAAACUUGUAUCCACAUUCAUUUGAAAACUAUAUCCCAAUGGGAAAAUGGUGUUGUAGCCACACACUUCUAGCAGGUAAUAAACCAGCCUCCUUCCUCUACUUGUUACCUGAAUUCGUUUUCCUUAUUCGUAGGUCAACUGGCUUGUGUCACAUGGAUCCAUCAUUCUAAACACUCCAUCCACCUCUUACGCUUCUCUUUUCAUGGCCUUUAUCAGCUUGACAAUACUGCUGGCCAUUUGCUGUUCUCCCCAACUUACUCCUGGUUGGACCCAGCAGACAGAUGGUUACUAUUUGUGAAAUGCUCGGAAUAGCACCGUCUUAGUUCCUUCUCUCAUUCCUGUGACC
Molecule: long non-coding RNA, 3945 nt
Filed under: Mus musculus (house mouse)
Lineage: Eukaryota; Metazoa; Chordata; Mammalia; Rodentia; Muridae
Description: long non-coding RNA chr15:40959756-40963701
Source: RNAcentral